GGCCGGCCGCCGGCUUCUUAGAGGGACUAUCGGCUCAAGCCGAUGGAAGUUUGAGGCAAUAACAGGUCUGUGAUGCCCUUAGAUGUCCUGGGCUGCACGCGCGCUACACUGACGGGGCCAGCGAGUUUCCGCCUCGGCCGAAAGGCCUG
This 149-nucleotide ribosomal RNA is filed under the name Collemataceae sp. RNAcentral describes it as "partial small subunit ribosomal RNA". It matches the Rfam family "Eukaryotic small subunit ribosomal RNA", at positions 1394 to 1544 of the family's 1831-position model. The record is from RNAcentral. Lineage: Eukaryota; Fungi; Ascomycota; Lecanoromycetes; Peltigerales; Collemataceae.